ACGGAGGGUGCAAGCGUUAUCCGGAUUCACUGGGUUUAAAGGGUGCGUAGGCGGGUAGGUAAGUCAGUGGUGAAAUCCUGGAGCUCAACUCCAGAACUGCCAUUGAUACUAUCUAUCUUGAAUAUUGUGGAGGUAAGCGGAAUAUGUCAUGUAGCGGUGAAAUGCUUAGAUAUGACAUAGAACACCCAUUGCGAAGGCAGCUUACUACGCAUAUAUUGACGCUGAGGCACGAAAGCGUGGGGAUCAAACAGGAUUAGAUACCCUGGUAGUCCACGCCCUAAACGAUGAUUACUCGACAUCAGCGAUACACUGUUGGUGUCUAAGCUAACGCAUUAAGUAAUCCACCUGGGAAGUACGAUCGCAAGAUUG
This 369-nucleotide ribosomal RNA is filed under the name uncultured bacterium. RNAcentral's name for it is "bacterial SSU rRNA". It matches the Rfam family "Bacterial small subunit ribosomal RNA", at positions 525 to 896 of the family's 1533-position model. The record is from RNAcentral.